RNAcentral lists this unclassified non-coding RNA (234 nucleotides) under Glomeraceae sp. Its description in RNAcentral is "partial contains 5.8S ribosomal RNA and internal transcribed spacer 2". The stretch from base 1 to 65 matches the Rfam family "5.8S ribosomal RNA", at positions 84 to 154 of the family's 154-position model. Lineage: Eukaryota; Fungi; Glomeromycota; Glomeromycetes; Glomerales; Glomeraceae. The record is from RNAcentral.
GUGAAUCAUCAAAUUUUUGAACGCAAAUUGCACUCUCCGCGGAGAGUAUGGGUGUUUGAGGGUCAGCCUAUAAAAAAUCGACAUCGUUUCUGUGUCACGGUGACGUUCGUCGGAAAUUGUGCCAGCUUAAAGCUUUUGGGUUUAAGCGACUUGGAAUUUUGUUUUUGAUGCCAUGAACGAGUUGCUAAGAUUUAUUUCUUUACACGUUUAAGGUAUCGAUUUUUAUUAGACGUG